This 341-nucleotide ribosomal RNA is filed under the name Mediodactylus kotschyi (Kotschy's gecko). RNAcentral's name for it is "partial large subunit ribosomal RNA". It matches the Rfam family "Bacterial large subunit ribosomal RNA", at positions 2038 to 2544 of the family's 2925-position model. Lineage: Eukaryota; Metazoa; Chordata; Lepidosauria; Squamata; Gekkonidae. The record is from RNAcentral.
GAAACUGAUCCUCUGGUACAAAAGCCAGAAUAACCACACAAGACGAGAAGACCCUGUGGAGCUUAUAACCUAACCGCUACUACUAGUGCCAAACCCCUUACGAGGCCCAGCACACGCAACCUAGCCGUCAUUUUAAGUUGGGGCGACUACGGAGUAAAACAAACCCUCCAAGAUUUAACAGGCUACAAAACCUCUAAAGCGGCACACACGCCAACAAGCCACCAAAAACUGACCCAGUACCACUGACUACCGAACCAAGUUACCCCAGGGAUAACAGCGCUAUCCCCCUCAAGAGUCCUUAUCAACAGGGGGGCUUACGACCUCGAUGUUGGAUCAGGACA